Molecule: ribosomal RNA, 303 nt
Filed under: uncultured bacterium
Lineage: Bacteria
Description: partial 16S ribosomal RNA
Rfam family: Bacterial small subunit ribosomal RNA
Source: RNAcentral
AGCAGCCGCCACGGGAAUACAGAGGGUGCGAGCGUUAAUCGGAUUUACUGGGCGUAAAGCGUGCGUAGGCGGCUAAUUGAGUCGGAUGUGAAAUCCCCGAGCUUAACUUGGGAAUUGCAUUCGAUACUGGUUAGCUAGAGUGUGGGAGAGGAUGGUAGAAUUCCAGGUGUAGCGGUGAAAUGCGUAGAGAUCUGGAGGAAUACCGAUGGCGAAGGCAGCCAUCUGGCCUAACACUGACGCUGAGGUACGAAAGCAUGGGGAGCAAACAGGAUUAGAUACCCCUGUAGUCCCUGUCUCUUAUAC